UUAAGCGACUAAGCGUACACGGUGGAUGCCCUGGCAGUCAGAGGCGAUGAAGGACGUGCUAAUCUGCGAAAAGCGUCGGUAAGGUGAUAUGAACCGUUACAGCCGGCGAUGUCCGAAUGGGGAAACCCAGUGCAAUUCGUUGCACUAUCGUUAACUGAAUACAUAGGUUAACGAGGCGAACCGGGGGAACUGAAACAUCUAAGUACCCCGAGGAAAAGAAAUCAACCGAGAUUCCCCCAGUAGCGGCGAGCGAACGGGGAGCAGCCCAGAGUCUGAAUCAGCUUGUGUGUUAGUGGAACGGUCUGGAAAGUCCGACGGUACAGGGUGAUAGUCCCGUACACCAAAAUGCACAGGUUGUGAACUCGAAGAGUAGGGCGGGACACGUGGUAUCCUGUCUGAAUAUGGGGGGACCAUCCUCCAAGGCUAAAUACUCCUGACUGACCGAUAGUGAACCAGUACCGUGAGGGAAAGGCGAAAAGAACCCCGGCGAGGGGAGUGAAAAAGAACCUGAAACCGUGUACGUACAAGCAGUGGGAGCACCUUCGGGUGUGACUGCGUACCUUUUGUAUAAUGGGUCAGCGACUUAUAUUCUGUAGCAAGGUUAACCGUAUAGGGGAGCCGCAGGGAAACCGAGUCUUAACUGGGCGUUAAGUUGCAGGGUAUAGACCCGAAACCCGGUGAUCUAGCCAUGGGCAGGUUGAAGGUUGGGUAACACUAACUGGAGGACCGAACCGACUAAUGUUGAAAAAUUAGCGGAUGACUUGUGGCUGGGGGUGAAAGGCCAAUCAAACCGGGAGAUAGCUGGUUCUCCCCGAAAGCUAUUUAGGUAGCGCCUCGUGAACUCAUCUUCGGGGGUAGAGCACUGUUUCGGCUAGGGGGUCAUCCCGACUUACCAACCCGAUGCAAACUACGAAUACCGAAGAAUGUUAUCACGGGAGACACACGGCGGGUGCUAACGUCCGUCGUGAAGAGGGAAACAACCCAGACCGCCAGCUAAGGUCCCAAAGUCAUGGUUAAGUGGGAAACGAUGUGGGAAGGCACAGACAGCCAGGAUGUUGGCUUAGAAGCAGCCAUCAUUUAAAGAAAGCGUAAUAGCUCACUGGUCGAGUCGGCCUGCGCGGAAGAUGUAACGGGGCUAAACCAUGCACCGAAGCUGCGGCAGCGACACUAUGUGUUGUUGGGUAGGGGAGCGUUCUGUAAGCCUGCGAAGGUGACCUGUGAGGGUUGCUGGAGGUAUCAGAAGUGCGAAUGCUGACAUAAGUAACGAUAAAGCGGGUGAAAAGCCCGCUCGCCGGAAGACCAAGGGUUCCUGUCCAACGUUAAUCGGGGCAGGGUGAGUCGACCCCUAAGGCGAGGCCGAAAGGCGUAGUCGAUGGGAAACAGGUUAAUAUUCCUGUACUUGGUGUUACUGCGAAGGGGGGACGGAGAAGGCUAUGUUAGCCGGGCGACGGUUGUCCCGGUUUAAGCAUGUAGGCUGGUUGUCCAGGCAAAUCCGGAUAAUCAAGGCUGAGGUGUGAUGACGAGGCACUACGGUGCUGAAGUAACAAAUGCCCUGCUUCCAGGAAAAGCCUCUAAGCAUCAGGUAACAUUAAAUCGUACCCCAAACCGACACAGGUGGUCAGGUAGAGAAUACCAAGGCGCUUGAGAGAACUCGGGUGAAGGAACUAGGCAAAAUGGUGCCGUAACUUCGGGAGAAGGCACGCUGGUGUGUAGGUGAAGUCCCUGCGGAUGGAGCUGAGACCAGUCGAAGAUACCAGCUGGCUGCAACUGUUUAUUAAAAACACAGCACUGUGCAAACACGAAAGUGGACGUAUACGGUGUGACGCCUGCCCGGUGCCGGAAGGUUAAUUGAUGGGGUUAUCCGUAAGGAGAAGCUCUUGAUCGAAGCCCCGGUAAACGGCGGCCGUAACUAUAACGGUCCUAAGGUAGCGAAAUUCCUUGUCGGGUAAGUUCCGACCUGCACGAAUGGCGUAAUGAUGGCCAGGCUGUCUCCACCCGAGACUCAGUGAAAUUGAACUCGCUGUGAAGAUGCAGUGUACCCGCGGCAAGACGGAAAGACCCCGUGAACCUUUACUAUAGCUUGACACUGAACAUUGAGCCUUGAUGUGUAGGAUAGGUGGGAGGCUUUGAAGCGUGGACGCCAGUCUGCGUGGAGCCAACCUUGAAAUACCACCCUUUAAUGUUUGAUGUUCUAACGUUGGCCCCUGACCGGGGUUGCGGACAGUGUCUGGUGGGUAGUUUGACUGGGGCGGUCUCCUCCCAAAGCGUAACGGAGGAGCACGAAGGUUAGCUAAUCCUGGUCGGACAUCAGGAGGUUAGUGCAAUGGCAUAAGCUAGCUUGACUGCGAGCGUGACGGCGCGAGCAGGUGCGAAAGCAGGUCAUAGUGAUCCGGUGGUUCUGAAUGGAAGGGCCAUCGCUCAACGGAUAAAAGGUACUCCGGGGAUAACAGGCUGAUACCGCCCAAGAGUUCAUAUCGACGGCGGUGUUUGGCACCUCGAUGUCGGCUCAUCACAUCCUGGGGCUGAAGUAGGUCCCAAGGGUAUGGCUGUUCGCCAUUUAAAGUGGUACGCGAGCUGGGUUUAGAACGUCGUGAGACAGUUCGGUCCCUAUCUGCCGUGGGCGCUGGAGAAUUGAGGGGGGCUGCUCCUAGUACGAGAGGACCGGAGUGGACGCAUCACUGGUGUUCGGGUUGUCAUGCCAAUGGCACUGCCCGGUAGCUAAAUGCGGAAGAGAUAAGUGCUGAAAGCAUCUAAGCACGAAACUUGCCCCGAGAUGAGUUCUCCCUGAGACUUUAAGUCUCCUGAAGGAACGUUAAAGACGAUGACGUUGAUAGGCCGGGUGUGUAAGCGCAGCGAUGCGUUGAGCUAACCGGUACUAAUGAACCGUGAGGCUUAACCUU
This 2900-nucleotide ribosomal RNA is filed under the name Klebsiella pneumoniae. Its description in RNAcentral is "23S ribosomal RNA". It matches the Rfam family "Bacterial large subunit ribosomal RNA". The record is from RNAcentral. Lineage: Bacteria; Pseudomonadati; Pseudomonadota; Gammaproteobacteria; Enterobacterales; Enterobacteriaceae.